This 200-nucleotide unclassified non-coding RNA is filed under the name soil metagenome. RNAcentral's name for it is "partial contains internal transcribed spacer 2 and large subunit ribosomal RNA". The record is from RNAcentral.
CGUCAUUUGUACUCUCAAGCUAUGCUUGGUGUUGGGUGUUUGUCUUUGCUAUGCGUAGACUCGCCUUAAAUGUAUUGGCAGCCGGUAUAUUGGUUUGAAUUGCAGCACAAUUUGCGACUCAGGCUUAUUAUUAUUGGCACCCAUGAAGCAUCAUCAACACUUUUGACCUCGGAUCAGGUAGGGAUACCCGCUGAACUUAA